This 307-nucleotide unclassified non-coding RNA is filed under the name Hevea brasiliensis (rubber tree). The record is from RNAcentral. Lineage: Eukaryota; Viridiplantae; Streptophyta; Magnoliopsida; Malpighiales; Euphorbiaceae.
ACGCGGGUGGCUGUGUUCAUUGCUAUGUUGGUAUGCAGUGAGUCUGUCGAGAACAGGAAACUAGAGGAGAAUAAGGGUGGGGAAGUCAAGAAACCUCAGUGGUUUUUCGAUGGUGUUGGUAACCCGGGCUGGGUUGUUUGUGGUAUUGGAGGUUUUGCUGGUGGUUUCGGUGGCGGAAAAGUGUUGACCUUUAGUCAUUCUUUUGUUUUUGGGAAGGAAGUGGGUUUCAGAUUUGGUACCGGUAGCCCUGGCAUUGGUCUUGGUAAGCCUGACUGUGUUGGAAAAGGUCGUGUUGGCGGGGGAUUGG